RNAcentral lists this ribosomal RNA (595 nucleotides) under Enterococcus faecium. Its description in RNAcentral is "bacterial SSU rRNA". It matches the Rfam family "Bacterial small subunit ribosomal RNA", at positions 202 to 785 of the family's 1533-position model. Lineage: Bacteria; Bacillati; Bacillota; Bacilli; Lactobacillales; Enterococcaceae. The record is from RNAcentral.
AAAGGCGCUUUCGGGUGUCGCUGAUGGAUGGACCCGCGGUGCAUUAGCUAGUUGGUGAGGUAACGGCUCACCAAGGCCACGAUGCAUAGCCGACCUGAGAGGGUGAUCGGCCACAUUGGGACUGAGACACGGCCCAAACUCCUACGGGAGGCAGCAGUAGGGAAUCUUCGGCAAUGGACGAAAGUCUGACCGAGCAACGCCGCGUGAGUGAAGAAGGUUUUCGGAUCGUAAAACUCUGUUGUUAGAGAAGAACAAGGAUGAGAGUAACUGUUCAUCCCUUGACGGUAUCUAACCAGAAAGCCACGGCUAACUACGUGCCAGCAGCCGCGGUAAUACGUAGGUGGCAAGCGUUGUCCGGAUUUAUUGGGCGUAAAGCGAGCGCAGGCGGUUUCUUAAGUCUGAUGUGAAAGCCCCCGGCUCAACCGGGGAGGGUCAUUGGAAACUGGGAGACUUGAGUGCAGAAGAGGAGAGUGGAAUUCCAUGUGUAGCGGUGAAAUGCGUAGAUAUAUGGAGGAACACCAGUGGCGAAGGCGGCUCUCUGGUCUGUAACUGACGCUGAGGCUCGAAAGCGUGGGGAGCAAACAGGAUUAGAUAC